ACCCACUUGCUGGCCCAUUCUUGAGGCCUGUAGCCUUUAUCUGCUGGUUAGGUGUUGGGGGCUGGAAGGGUGGGGGCCCCUGCCUUGUGGACUCAUGGAUGAAGCCCUAGCAGGACCAGGACAGGGGGUGGGGGAAGAAAUCUU
This is a non-coding RNA of Ceratotherium simum simum (southern white rhinoceros), 144 nucleotides long. NCBI's taxonomy places the organism in Eukaryota, Metazoa, Chordata, Mammalia, Perissodactyla, Rhinocerotidae. The record is from RefSeq and is a predicted model, not a curated record.